This 478-nucleotide ribosomal RNA is filed under the name uncultured bacterium. RNAcentral describes it as "partial 16S ribosomal RNA". It matches the Rfam family "Bacterial small subunit ribosomal RNA", at positions 28 to 523 of the family's 1533-position model. The record is from RNAcentral.
GACGAACGCUGGCGGCGUGCUUAACACAUGCAAGUCGAACGGUAAGGCCCUUCGGGGUACACGAGUGGCGAACGGGUGAGUAACACGUGGGUGAUCUGCCCUGCACUUCGGGACAAGCCUGGGAAACUGGGUCCAAUACCGGAUAGGACCCUGGGAUGCAUGUCCUGGGGGGGAAAGCUUUUGCGGUGUGGGAUGGGGCCGCGGCCUAUCAGCUUGUUGGUGGGGUGAUGGCCUACCAAGGCGGCGACGGGUAGCCGGCCUGAGAGGGUGACCGGCCACACUGGGACUGAGAUACGGCCCAGACUCCUACGGGAGGCAGCAGUGGGGAAUAUUGCACAAUGGGCGCAAGCCUGAUGCAGCGACGCCGCGUGAGGGAUGACGGCCUUCGGGUUGUAAACCUCUUUCAGCACCGACGAAGCGCAAGUGACGGUAGGUGCAGAAGAAGGACCGGCCAACUACGUGCCAGCAGCCGCCGUAA